This 622-nucleotide ribosomal RNA is filed under the name bacterium. RNAcentral's name for it is "bacterial SSU rRNA". It matches the Rfam family "Bacterial small subunit ribosomal RNA", at positions 60 to 671 of the family's 1533-position model. The record is from RNAcentral.
AGUCGAACGGCAGCAUGAUCUAGCUUGCUAGAUUGAUGGCGAGUGGCGAACGGGUGAGUAAUACAUCGGAACGUGCCCUGUAGUGGGGGAUAACUAGUCGAAAGAUUAGCUAAUACCGCAUACGACCUGAGGGUGAAAGUGGGGGACCGCAAGGCCUCAUGCUAUAGGAGCGGCCGAUGUCUGAUUAGCUAGUUGGUGAGGUAAAGGCUCACCAAGGCGACGAUCAGUAGCUGGUCUGAGAGGACGAUCAGCCACACUGGGACUGAGACACGGCCCAGACUCCUACGGGAGGCAGCAGUGGGGAAUUUUGGACAAUGGGGGCAACCCUGAUCCAGCAAUGCCGCGUGUGUGAAGAAGGCCUUCGGGUUGUAAAGCACUUUUGUCCGGAAAGAAAUCGCACUUACUAAUAUUAGGUGUGGAUGACGGUACCGGAAGAAUAAGGACCGGCUAACUACGUGCCAGCAGCCGCGGUAAUACGUAGGGUCCAAGCGUUAAUCGGAAUUACUGGGCGUAAAGCGUGCGCAGGCGGUUGUGCAAGACCGAUGUGAAAUCCCCGGGCUUAACCUGGGAAUUGCAUUGGUGACUGCACGGCUAGAGUGUGUCAGAGGGGGGUAGAAUUCCA